RNAcentral lists this small RNA (422 nucleotides) under Pan troglodytes (chimpanzee). RNAcentral's name for it is "retained intron". Lineage: Eukaryota; Metazoa; Chordata; Mammalia; Primates; Hominidae. The record is from RNAcentral.
GAGGAGCUGGACAGGAUCCCUGGAAGGGGCCCUGGGGUCUCUGAGUCGCGCUCAGCGGGUGCUUGUGCUCCCUGCCCAGCUGUGCUGAAGUCCCGAGGGACAUGUCCGCUGCUUGCGGGUCGGUUCCUGAGGAAUUGGAAGUGUCACGAGAUGUGGCCCUCGUUGGGCUGGCGCUCAUUGGCCUCCCUUGUGCCUGUGCAGGAGGAGCUGAUUAACUCAGUGGUCAUCUCGCAGCUCUCCCACAUCCCCGAGGAUAAAGACCACCAGGUCCGAAAGCUGGCCACCCAGUUGCUGGUGGACCUGGCAGAGGGCUGCCACACACACCACUUCAACAGCCUGCUGGACAUCAUCGAGAAGGUGAUGGCCCGCUCCCUCUCCCCACCCCCGGAGCUGGAAGAAAGGGAUGUGGCCGCAUACUCGGC